Molecule: transfer RNA, 65 nt
Filed under: Sarcophaga dux
Lineage: Eukaryota; Metazoa; Arthropoda; Insecta; Diptera; Sarcophagidae
Description: tRNA-Leu
Source: RNAcentral
ACUAUUUUGGCAGAUUAGUGCAAUAAAUUUAGAAUUUAUUUAUGUGAAUUUUUUCACAAAUAGUA